This 372-nucleotide ribosomal RNA is filed under the name uncultured bacterium. Its description in RNAcentral is "bacterial SSU rRNA". It matches the Rfam family "Bacterial small subunit ribosomal RNA", at positions 524 to 898 of the family's 1533-position model. The record is from RNAcentral.
UACGGAGGAUCCGAGCGUUAUCCGGAUUUAUUGGGUUUAAAGGGAGCGUAGGCGGAUGUUUAAGUCAGUUGUGAAAGUUUAAGGCUCAACCUUGAAAUUGCAGUUGAUACUGGACGUCUUGAGUGCAUUAAAUGUGGGCGGAAUUCGUGGUGUAGCGGUGAAAUGCUUAGAUAUCACGAAGAACUCCAAUUGCGAAGGCAGCUCACAGGACUGUAACUGACGCUGAUGCUCGAAAGUGUGGGUAUCAAACAGGAUUAGAUACCCUGGUAGUCCACACAGUAAACGAUGAAUACUCGCUGUUUGCGAUAUACAGUAAGCGGCCAAGCGAAAGCGUUAAGUAUUCCACCUGGGGAGUACGCCGGCAACGGUGAA